CCUACGGGUGGCAGCAGUGGGGAAUAUUGCACAAUGGGGGAAACCCUGAUGCAGCGACGCCGCGUGAAGGAAGACGUAUUUCGGUAUGUAAACUUCUAUCAGCAGGGAAGAAAAUUACGGUACCUGACUAAGAAGCCCCGGCUAACUACGUGCCAGCAGCCGCGGGAAUACGUAGGGGGCAAGCGUUAUCCGGAUUUACUGGGUGUAAAGGGAGCGUAGGCGGCGAGGCAAGUCAGAAGUGAAAGCCUGGGGCUCAACUCCGGGACUGCUUUUGAAACUGUGUUGCUAGAUUGCAGGAGAGGUAAGUGGAAUUCCUGGUGUAGCGGUGAAAUGCGUAGAUAUUAGGAGGAACACCAGUGGCGAAGGCGGCUUACUGGACUGUAAAUGACGCUGAGGCUCGAAAGCGUGGGGAGCAAACAGGAUUAGAUACCCUUGUAGUC
Molecule: ribosomal RNA, 440 nt
Filed under: uncultured bacterium
Lineage: Bacteria
Description: partial 16S ribosomal RNA
Rfam family: Bacterial small subunit ribosomal RNA
Source: RNAcentral